RNAcentral lists this ribosomal RNA (468 nucleotides) under uncultured bacterium. Its description in RNAcentral is "partial 16S ribosomal RNA". It matches the Rfam family "Bacterial small subunit ribosomal RNA", at positions 28 to 507 of the family's 1533-position model. The record is from RNAcentral.
GACGAACGCUGGCGGCGUGCUUAACACAUGCAAGUCGAACGGAAAGGCCCUGCUCUUGUGGGGUGCUCGAGUGGCGAACGGGUGAGUAACACGUGAGUAACCUGCCCCUGUCUUUGGGAUAACUUCAGGAAACUGGGGCUAAUACCGGAUAGGAGCUCUUGCUGCAUGGUGGGGGUUGGAAAGUUUCGGCGGUUGGGGAUGGACUCGCGGCUUACCAGCUUGUUGGUGGGGUAGUGGCUUACCAAGGCUUCGACGGAUAGCCGGCCUGAGAGGGUGACCGGGCACAAUGGGCCUGAGAUACGGCCCAGACGCCAACGGGAGGCAGCAGGGGGGAGUAUUACACAAUGGGCGGAAGCCUGAGGCAGCGGCGCCGCGUGCGGGAUGACGGCCUUCGGGUUGUAAACCGAUUUCGCCUGUGACGAAGCGUGAGUGACGGUAAUGGGUAAAGAAGCACCGGCUAACUACGUG